CGGCGUGCUAUACAUGCAAGUCGAGCGAACUGAUUAGAAGCUUGCUUCUAUGACGUUAGCGGCGGACGGGUGAGUAACACGUGGGCAACCUGCCUGUAAGACUGGGAUAACUUCGGGAAACCGAAGCUAAUACCGGAUAGGAUCUUCUCCUUCAUGGGAGAUGAUUGAAAGAUGGUUUCGGCUAUCACUUACAGAUGGGCCCGCGGUGCAUUAGCUAGUUGGUGAGGUAACGGCUCACCAAGGCAACGAUGCAUAGCCGACCUGAGAGGGUGAUCGGCCACACUGGGACUGAGACACGGCCCAGACUCCUACGGGAGGCAGCAGUAGGGAAUCUUCCGCAAUGGACGAAAGUCUGACGGAGCAACGCCGCGUGAGUGAUGAAGGCUUUCGGGUCGUAAAACUCUGUUGUUAGGGAAGAACAAGUACGAGAGUAACUGCUCGUACCUUGACGGUACCUAACCAGAAAGCCACGGCUAACUACGUGCCAGCAGCCGCGGUAAUACGUAGGUGGCAAGCGUUAUCCGGAAUUAUUGGGCGUAAAGCGCGCGCAGGCGGUUUCUUAAGUCUGAUGUGAAAGCCCACGGCUCAACCGUG
This 594-nucleotide ribosomal RNA is filed under the name Bacillus subtilis. RNAcentral describes it as "bacterial SSU rRNA". It matches the Rfam family "Bacterial small subunit ribosomal RNA", at positions 40 to 617 of the family's 1533-position model. The record is from RNAcentral. Lineage: Bacteria; Bacillati; Bacillota; Bacilli; Caryophanales; Bacillaceae.